AUGAGCAACUCGUCGUGGGCGGCGCCGGCGGGGUCGUCGGCGCUGGAGACGGUGGAGACCAAGAUCAGCCCCAGCAUCCUCUUCAUCGUCGCCGUGCUGGCCAUCGUCUUCUUCGUCUGCGGCCUGCUGCACCUGCUCGCGCGCCACCUGCUGCGGCUGCGCCGCCGCCGCCGGGCCGCCCGCGACGACGCCGAGAGCGUCACCGCCUUCCAGGGCCAGCUGCAGCAACUCUUCCACCUCCACGACGCCGGCGUCGACCAGGCCUUCAUCGACGCCCUCCCCGUCUUCCUCUACCGCAACGUCGUCGUCGGCGGGGACGGAGAGGGCGGCAAGGACCCGUUCGACUGCGCCGUGUGCCUGUGCGAGUUCGCGCCUGACGACCAGCUCCGGCUGCUCCCCAAGUGCAGCCACGCGUUCCACCUCGAGUGCAUCGACACCUGGCUGCUCUCGCACUCCACCUGCCCGCUCUGCCGCCGCAGCCUCCUCGCCGCCGGCGACCUCGAACCCACCUGCAGCCCGGUGCUCAUGGUGCUCGACUCCGCCGACAGCUCCCGCGACCUGGCCGCCUCGGGCAGGCGCGCCGACGCCGAGCCGAGCGGCGCGGCCGUGCGCGUCCCGGGGCGCGACGGGGCCGAGGAGGUGGUCGAGGUGAAGCUGGGCAAGUUCAUGUGCGUGGAUGGCAACGCCUUUGCCGUCGCCGACGCCAGCGGAGCGGACGGAGCGGGCACCAGCAGCAACGCCAAUGCCGACGCCGACGCAGGGCUCGGGCAGAGGCGGUGCCACUCCAUGGGCUCCUACGAGUACGUCAUGGAGGAGCAGGCGUCGCUCCGCGUGGCCAUCGCCAAGCCGCCGCCCAAGAAGAAGCGGCCGGCGUUCUCCCGGGCGCGCCGCGGCGGGGGCGCCAUGUCGGAGUGCGAGUUCGGCGCGUCCAAGCGCCGCGGGGAAUCCUCCUCGCUCCGCUACCCGGUGAUCCCCGCCACGACAGCGCGGAAGCAGCAGCCUCCCCCCGGCCUGCCCGCCGCGGCGAAGCUCGCCAAGGACAGCUUCUCCGAGUCCAAGAUCUGGAUGGUGCCGCCGGCGUCGUCCCGGAAAGGGGACCCCUACGCGGGCGGGCGGCGCACGGUGUCGUUCCGGUGGCCGAUGCGGAGCGGCAAGGAGGGCGAGGAGGAAGGAGGGGGCGAGCGGAAGAGCGGGAGCGAGGCAGACUGGGGCGACGUGGAGACGGGCAGCGGCGGCGGCAACAGCGUGGUGUCGUCGCUCGCGGAGGAGCGGCCGUCGUUCGCGCGCCGCACCCUGCUCUGGGUCGUCGGCGGCCGGCAGCAAUCCAACCGGGUCGGAGACUGCUCGUGA
This 1350-nucleotide ribosomal RNA is filed under the name Triticum aestivum (bread wheat). Its description in RNAcentral is "partial small subunit ribosomal RNA". The record is from RNAcentral. Lineage: Eukaryota; Viridiplantae; Streptophyta; Magnoliopsida; Poales; Poaceae.